AGCUCUGCAAGGAAGCUGCUUUCAACCUGGGAAUCUCAGACAUCAGGAACCUCACAUUUUCACUAUGGUGCCUAUAUCUCCCCCAUUCCUGGAACCUUAGGGUUGGGCGCACUUUCCUGCAUGCUUCUUUCAAUUCAUACCAAAUAAUAUUGCAUCCACUGAUCCCAACCUAACCAACACAACAAGUACCACCUCAGCAUGCUUCAGCUCAGACUGUGUCCAGAGAAUUCAGGUGUGGAAUGACAAACCUUCAGCUUCAUCACUCAGUCACCAGGUUCCAGAUGCUACCAUGAUGUCAACGAGACUUCCCUGGACAGAUGACCCCACCAAUAUGUACUGGAGCUCCGCUUCCCAAGAUCCCCACCCUACUAGAGAAAGAGAGAGCCACCAGGUUCCAGAUGCUACCAUAAUGCCAACCAGACUUCCCCAGACAGACAAACCCAACAAUGUGUCCUGGAGCCCCACUUCCCCAGAGCCCCACCACACUACGGAAAGAGAGAAGCAGGUUGGGGUUAUGGAUCGACCUACUAAUGCCCAUGUUCAUCAGGGAAGCAAUUACAGAAGCCAGACCUUCCAUAUUCUGCACCCUACGAUGACCCUGGGUCCAUACUCCCAAAGGGAUAAAGAAUAGGAAAGCUAACAGGGGAGGGGAUGGGAUACACAGUUCUAAUGGUGGGAAUUAUAUGGAAUUAUACCUCUCUUAUCCUAUGGUUUUGUCAGUAUUUCCUUUUUAUAAAUAAAGAUAAUAAUAAUUAAUUAAAUUAAAUUUUAAGAUAACAUAAAAUAUAUAGAAAAAACUUGUAAAAUCAUAAAAUAUUGGGUGGGGGGAGAUAGCAUUGUUGGGUAGUAUGCCAGCUCCCCCGGCUUCUGUCUCUAAUCCUGCUUAACUAAGCACUGGCAUGCCUGUAUGGCAUUGGUUUGAUCCCACUCAAAGCUGCAGUCUAUUUACAUAAAUCACUAACUAAGCACCACCCUCCCUCCAGGGCAUUGGUGGUUCUGUGGUAGAAUUCUCACCUGCUCCACGCCCUCUCCUUGUCACACCCUGAUUUUCCACCACUCUCUUUUCGCUCCACCCUCUCUACAUCACAUCCUGUUUACACCCUACUUGGCAAGUUUAUAUAAGGACAGGUUUGUGAGUUUUCAGUUUAGUUUAG
Long non-coding RNA from Erinaceus europaeus (western European hedgehog), 1154 nucleotides. RefSeq lists it as uncharacterized. NCBI's taxonomy places the organism in Eukaryota, Metazoa, Chordata, Mammalia, Eulipotyphla, Erinaceidae. The transcript has 4 exons. The record is from RefSeq and is a predicted model, not a curated record.